GCCACGUCACAUCACUGGACAAAGGACUGUCGCAGGAUGCAUUCUUAAUCACAAUUUGUGGCUAACCACAGCUUAUUUACCAUUUUUGGAUUGGUGAUAGAAUAAAAGUCAGCACCUGAU
Molecule: long non-coding RNA, 120 nt
Organism: Mytilus californianus (California mussel)
Lineage: Eukaryota; Metazoa; Mollusca; Bivalvia; Mytilida; Mytilidae
Exons: 2
Source: RefSeq, a predicted model, not a curated record